This 270-nucleotide long non-coding RNA is filed under the name Homo sapiens (human). RNAcentral describes it as "HSALNT0363679". Lineage: Eukaryota; Metazoa; Chordata; Mammalia; Primates; Hominidae. The record is from RNAcentral.
ACUGCACUCCAGCCUGGGGAACAAAGCAAGACUCUGUCUCAAAAUAAGAAAAAAAAAUAGCACUACUAAACAGAACAGUCACAAAGCUUAGCUUUUCUCUUUAUACUACUAAUAGUGUCAUAAGAUGGUUCAUACAUGUGCCAUACAUGAGUCCUAUGAGGGGAACCUGUGAAAUUUCAUACUGAGCUAAAGCCCAUGCUGUGGGCUCUGGGCAGCUUGCAACACACUUUCCCAGCAGGUCAAGGGCCUCUACUCCUUCUUUUUUUUUUU